AUUGAACGCUGGCGGCAGGCUUAACACAUGCAAGUCGAGCGGGGGAAGGUAGCUUGCUACCGGACCUAGCGGCGGACGGGUGAGUAAUGCUUAGGAAUCUGCCUAUUAGUGGGGGACAACAUCUCGAAAGGGAUGCAAAUACCGCAUACGCCCUACGGGGGAAAGCAGGGGAUCUUCGGACCUUGCGCUAAUAGAUGAGCCUAAGUCGGAUUAGCUAGUUGGUGGGGUAAAGGCCUACCAAGGCGACGAUCUGUAGCGGGUCUGAGAGGAUGAUCCGCCACACUGGGACUGAGACACGGCCCAGACUCCUACGGGAGGCAGCAGUGGGGAAUAUUGGACAAUGGGCGGAAGCCUGAUCCAGCCAUGCCGCGUGUGUGAAGAAGGCCUUUUGGUUGUAAAGCACUUUAAGCGAGGAGGAGGCUCAUUUAGUUAAUACCUAAAGAGAGUGGACGUUACUCGCAGAAUAAGCACCGGCUAACUCUGUGCCAGCCGCCGCGGUAA
Molecule: ribosomal RNA, 501 nt
Filed under: uncultured bacterium
Lineage: Bacteria
Description: partial 16S ribosomal RNA
Rfam family: Bacterial small subunit ribosomal RNA
Source: RNAcentral